CCUACGGUGGGCAGCAGUGGGGGAUAUUGCACAAUGGGGGAAACCCUGAUGCAGCGCCGCCGCGUGUGGGAAGACGGUCCUCUGGAUUGUAAACCACUGUCCCCAGGGACGAAGAUGACGGUACCUGGGGAGGAAGCUCCGGCUAACUACGUGCCAGCAGCCGCGGUAAUACGUAGGGAGCGAGCGUUGUCCGGAAUUACUGGGUGUAAAGGGAGCGUAGGCGGGACUGCAAGUUGGGUGUCAAAUCUACCGGCUCAACCGGUAGCCGCACUCAAAACUGCAGUUCUUGAGUGAAGUAGAGGCAGGCGGAAUUCCUAGUGUAGCGGUGAAAUGCGUAGAUAUUAGGAGGAACACCAGUGGCGAAGGCGGCCUGCUGGGCUUUUACUGACGCUGAGGCUCGAAAGUGUGGGGAGCAAACAGGAUUAGAUACCCUAGUAGUC
This 440-nucleotide ribosomal RNA is filed under the name uncultured bacterium. RNAcentral describes it as "partial 16S ribosomal RNA". It matches the Rfam family "Bacterial small subunit ribosomal RNA", at positions 338 to 795 of the family's 1533-position model. The record is from RNAcentral.